CCAAAGUACCCCAAUAUAUAUUAUAUACUGUACAUGAAAUAUCAAAGUUCACAAACUAUAUAUUAUAUACUGUACAUAAAAUAUCAAAGUACCCAAGGUAUAUAUUCUAUAGUGUACAAAAAAUAUCAAAGUACCCAAAGCAUGUAUUAUAUACCGUACAUAAAAUAUAAAAUUACAUCAAAUAUAUAUUUUAUUCUGUACAUAAAAUAUCAAAGUACACCAGAUAUAUAUACUAUAGUGUACAUAAAAUAUCAAAGUACCCAAACUAUACAUUAUACACUGUACAUAAAAUAUGAAAGUACAUCAAAUAUAGAUUACAUACUGUAAAUAUAAUAUCAAUGUACCCCAAAUAUAUAUUUUAUACUCUACAUGAAAUAUCAAAGUUCACAAACCAUAUAUUAU
This 402-nucleotide long non-coding RNA is filed under the name Homo sapiens (human). RNAcentral describes it as "HSALNT0312922". The record is from RNAcentral. Lineage: Eukaryota; Metazoa; Chordata; Mammalia; Primates; Hominidae.